UCCCAACCUUAUAUAGCUUAAUGUCAACCUAGAGAGUUGACCAAAACCUGCUCUUUGAUUUGGACUUCAACCUUAGCCUUUGGAAAGCCUUCAUGGUUUUUAGCAUUUCAGAAAGUAUUUAUGAUCAAGAAUAAUAGGAACCACGAGGAUACAAUAAAAUCUAAUCAGCAUAAUGACAGUAAAGCAAAGGCACACUACUUGAGUCUGUUAUUUAUAACUGAAUAUUCAUUUUCAAACACAGGGGAGCAUUCCAGACAUAAGGUGAAAAUCUAUUCAUGUGCUUUACAUGUUGAAAUUCUAGUAGUUAGAAAAUCCUGCAAUAACCCACAAUGACUCUGAAAACUGUUAUUUUUGUGCAGAAUAAUUUUAAAUAGAUUUCUAAAAAUGCUCAGAAAACAUUUUCUUAAAGCAGUGAAUAAAGCUUCAGUUUGUGGCACUGUUUCAAUAAAAUUUUAUCUGUUGGUAGGUGAUAAGAGAAAAAUAAGUCAUAGUAAAUUACUACUAGAGAAAAGGGAACAUUUAAUAUCUGGGUGGCACCAUCACUAUUAGCAGUAUCUGAGACCGCGAGAGCUGUCCAAAACUAUGUUGUUCCUCAAUUAACCUCAAUGGAAAGUGAAUGACUAUCCAGUAUUACAGAUUUACAGUGUAGUGAUCGUAGAAGCAAUCUAGUCGCUGAUAGUACUGAGCAAUUAUUAUUCCUGUAACUUGAUGUCAGAUUUUUAAAACUUUGUCAACUAAAAACUUUAUUGACAAAACUACCAUAAUAACUAAAUUUCUGUUGGACUGGAAUUCAUUCUAUGAUCAGCGGAAACUGAGAUUAGCCCUGACUUUGUUGAAAUUUCAUGUCAACACUUGUCCACUGAGUACUUUGUGUCCCACUGAACAGUUCAAUAGGACCAGGUAAUAACUGUGAAAAUCAGGUUCAAACCCCAUUACUGGCUUCCAGCCUUGUACCUUUCUCCCCUCUAAGAAUACUUGCCUCUACCGGUAGGGAAAGAGUUGGACACAGAGAAAUCCUUAGCUUUCCAAAUUAUUUGGGUAGUACUAUUUCUCCUAUUAUCAACUAGAGUUUCCUCAAAGCCUCAGAAUUAGUAGUGAGAUUAUGGCCAAUUCAAAUGACCCAGAAAUAGAAUGUGUAUUUCCUCCUAUAACCUUGGUAGCCUUCAUGUCUUGGACCAAAAAGAAAAAAAAAAAAAAA
Molecule: long non-coding RNA, 1198 nt
Filed under: Canis lupus familiaris (dog)
Lineage: Eukaryota; Metazoa; Chordata; Mammalia; Carnivora; Canidae
Description: lncRNA (ENSCAFG00000051232.1, ENSCAFG00805004082.1, ENSCAFG00845003768.1)
Source: RNAcentral